GUGCUUAUUUUGGCAGCACAUGUACUAGAAUUGGAAUAAUACAGAGAAGAUUAGGAUGGCCCCUGUGCAAGGGUGACAUGCAAAUUCAUGAAGCAUUCCAUAUUAAA
This 107-nucleotide small nuclear RNA is filed under the name Neogale vison (American mink). The record is from RNAcentral. Lineage: Eukaryota; Metazoa; Chordata; Mammalia; Carnivora; Mustelidae.